RNAcentral lists this ribosomal RNA (187 nucleotides) under uncultured bacterium. RNAcentral's name for it is "partial 16S ribosomal RNA". It matches the Rfam family "Bacterial small subunit ribosomal RNA", at positions 1314 to 1500 of the family's 1533-position model. The record is from RNAcentral.
GACUGCGUGAAGUCGGAUCGCUAGUAAUCGCGGAUCAGCAUGCCGCGGUGAAUACGUUCCCGGGCCUUGUACACACCGCCCGUCACACCAUGAGAGUCGGGAACACCCGAAGUCCGUAGCCUAACCGCGAAGGGGGGCGCGGCCGAAGGUGGGUUCGAUAAUUGGGGUGAAGUCGUAACAAGGUAAC